Non-coding RNA from Macaca mulatta (Rhesus monkey), 1060 nucleotides. The record is from RefSeq and is a predicted model, not a curated record. NCBI's taxonomy places the organism in Eukaryota, Metazoa, Chordata, Mammalia, Primates, Cercopithecidae.
GGUCACUGAGGGACUGAAAUUCUCCACACCAGGCUGUAGUCCUGCUCAUUGCUGGAGGUGCUGUCAGGGCCCUUGCCACUGACCCUCCAGGUCUCAUUCUUGCAGUGCAGGCAGGGUAUUCUGGAGGAAUCAUGCCCUUGGAAGAAGCCCUGAGAAGUGACUGGUAGGUAUGAGUGGAUAAAUACCCGAACUCCCUUGCUCCGGGUGGGAUGACUCUGAGACACAUGUUCUAUGCUGUGUCUCAGAGGUACCCGGCAGGGCUGAGUCCUGACUGCCCACGGUGGAAACAUUCUUGAUGAAGGUCCCUUUAACUGCUGCAUUCCAUUCCUGUCUCAGUUCCCCACUCCUGUACUGGUGUUUCCUGCAAUUAGUACCGGAAGAACUGGCAGUAUAAUUGCUGUCCUAGAGUCACCUCCAGAUAAAAUUUUUAUACUUGAAUCUUUGCCUCAGGAUCUACUUCCAGGAAACUCAAACUAAGAUACACAUUUUUAUUUUGGCUCCUCCAAUCUUCAUAGACCUGUCAUUGUGCUGUUUUUACCAAAAAUGAUCAUGAGGAUCAGAGAGGGAAAGUCACUUGGCCAAAGUCACACAGCUGAACAGUGGUGGAGUUCAACUUUGACAAUGGACUGUCUGACCCCAAGUUGUAUACUUGCUUCUCUCCCAAGAGACUCCUCUCUUAUCAGGCUCAAAUGAAUGAAAGGAGGAUGUUAAAGACAAUGCUGUUACUGACGAGAUCACACCCAAGCAGAUCGGAGAUUGGCCCAAUACUUACGCCUACACCAAGGCCUUGGGAGAAAUGAUGGUGCAGCAGGAGAGCAGGAGCCUAACCAUCGCCAUCAUAAGGCCCUCCAUUGUGGGAGCAACGUGGCAUAAGCCUUUCCCAGGUUGAGUUGAUAAUCGAAAUGGACCUAGCCGAGUCAUUAUUGCGGUAUAUAUAGGGAUGAAGAAAUAACUCUGAAACGUAGUGGAGGAAUAGUAACAGAAUUCUUAGUGCUGGCUUAGCUUCAUUGAUCCAAAAAGAUGCAGCAUUACGUGGAAAGAAGCUAAAGCUGGGCGGUUC